GUGGGUGACAUCACCCUGCGUUUUUGCAGGCUGAGCAGAUGCUCUAAGUUCUCUGGUACUGGCUCCAGCCUGAGCCUCUGGGGUGCAAAGCAGGACAGGGUGAAGCCUCUCCUAGAUGCCGACAUUUUUUCUUGGGAGCCAGAGAACACGGAAGAUAAAAGCACAACGAUCUCAAUUGGAUUAAUUAAUUCGUUUAUGUAUUUAGUGGGUGAACUUUCUUCCAGUUCUUUCUGAAUGAGGGCAAGGUGCAGGCUGGGUGGCGUUAGAUGGGAUCUGAUGAACGGAAGACUGAUACGGAUCCCAAAUCUGGAAGUUCUCCAAUGCCAGCAGAGUCUUCAGAGGGAGCCACGGGAAAUCGACAAGUACAAGAAAACAAACAUGGUUUUCUCUUUCCUAAUGUUUUCCUCUGCACUGGUAGGAAUUUGCCUACAGAUCCAGCAAAGCCUGCAGGGCUGGGGGGCUCUGAGGACUGACUGGGGUGCUAACUGCGAGAUGUGGAGUCCUUCGUCUGCUGGGGCCUGGCCUGGGGGCUCGGCUAGCUGUCAGCCCGGCCUCGGCCUCUCCGUUGUUCUCCCCUUGUCCUUUGGCAAGAAACAAGGAAGGAGAGACAGAGCAGCCCAGGGGAAGGGCUGGGGUGUCUUAACCUCUCCUUUUAGGCUCCAGGGCCCUCCCUCAAGGUGCAGACUGCAUGAGAAAGAGAUCCCCAGCUCAGGAACCAAAAGAGACACACCUAGCCUGGUGACGUCCCCACCAGCCGGUGACCCGUGGCCCCCAGCUCUUACUGGGAGGUUCCCAUGUACACGGCCCUGAGGAGGAUCCGAGUGCCUGCCGACCAUGGCCCAGGGCUUACAAGAAGAAGAAACUUCCUCCGAGCUUCCCAAAGACCACCACCGCUGCUCACACUUUGGAAAUCCUUCUGUCCAUUCAUUUUCGGUUUUUAUUUGGUUUUCACAUUGUUGUAAUCAUCCCGUGUUUACAAUUUUGUAUCCCACCGCAUUUAUCAUCCUAGCGUGUAUAUGUUUCUGCAUGUUAAAUUUAUCCUUGUUAUUGCAAAGGUUCAUAUUUUUAUAUAUAUUUACACACAAAGGCUCACUUCAUGGGUUUUCCCUUUCUUAGCAGCAAACUUUGAAAAUGUCCCUUUUCUCUUCUAUCUCUCACUCCCCCUCUUUGGCCUCCCUCCUAUCCUUUCUUUUCUUCCUUUCUUUCUCUCGAAAUUUCUAGUUCCAACUCACUGCUUCCCUUCAUUUCACAUCUUCUCCAGACUUAUGACUGGACAUCUCUAAGACAUACACCAGAGGAUUCCUCUAAGGUCUAAACUCCCUGAAGUUUUGCGGUACCUGAUUGGCAGAGAGGAAAUUUCUGGUGAAGGCAGUUCUCACCCAGAGGGGCUGCGGCUGGGAGGCUCAUUACUCCAGGCCAGGGACAGUUGUCAAGAUGAAAAGGACAGGAAGACGAGUCUGGGCCAAGGCAUGUAAAGGUGUUUCCUGGACUUUGCAAGACCCCAGAGUGUCAGAGAAAGGGAAAUGUAACAUAUUCUACUUGGAGAGGAAAUAAAUAUGUGGUCUGUCAACUAAUCCUUGGUCUACACUCGGAAAGAGUUUUAAUAGUGUUUACAGGGAUGUUUCCCAAGGGCUGGUUUGCCCUUUCCCUGCUGGGUACCUCGAGUCGGUAAGUACAAGCAGCCCCUCUCUCUCUUCUCCUCUCUCUUCCCUUCUCUCUCCCCUAGCCCCAUGGAAAGUCCAUAGGAGCCUUUGUCCAAUAACCAUGACACCAGCCCACUUUGUGCCCCGUGCGUGUCGCUCUCCCCAGCUCUUGCGUCCGUGUCUCAGGACACUUCCAGGAGACAGGUUGCCAUCACCAUGCUCAAAGAGCACUGCCCAAGAUCACACGACUAGAACGUGUCAGAGCCCGGAUGGAAACUCAGGGUGCCCAGCCCUAAAGCCCAUUCUCCUAACCGCUACCCCAGUAUUCCCACUCGUCUCUUAAGCACUCUUAACAUCAGCCCUUUCAAAUGCACAACAGAAUGCCGGUGGGAUUCUACUGCAGAGACACGCACGAAGUUCAAAGCUCUUUUUCAGAUGAUGUGCCAAGAAUUCUACAUUGUUUGCAGUUCGGCGUUGGGUGACUGCUUUUCUGCACCAGGUGUGGAACAACUCGGAGAGAGUCUGCCUUUUCCUGAACCUCGCAGAGAAGCGCCUAGAGCUGUGCCUGAGCAGGGCGGCCCGGCUGGACACACGUCAAGGCUUUGUGUCCCUUUGGCAGCCAGGGCCUAGGGCUGCAGAGCGAGGACAGCGUACUCCACCAGCCUGAUCUAAUCAGAACUCUGCCGCCGCCGCAUGUCUCUCUGUCCCCCACGUGUCCUAGAGCCCAUGUCCCAUCCCCCAGCACCUCUGUUCCUGUCUGCAUCGACUCGCAGGACAGAGUUUCUGGAGUAGAGAACUUUGCCAGGAAGAGGAAGUCACCGGCGUGGUUUUGAAAAGCUCCCCUUCUGUGCGCCUCUCUUCCCUGAGACCCUUGAGUGACUUUCACUGGGGGCAGCCGCCAGGCCUAUUGUCCACCCACCCCUACUUGCCACACACUUCCUGCCCCGAAUGUCAAGGUUUUCAUUUGACCAUGAUAUAAUGAGCUGUAUAAAAUUAAAAACAGCUAAAUACCA
Molecule: long non-coding RNA, 2656 nt
Organism: Neogale vison (American mink)
Lineage: Eukaryota; Metazoa; Chordata; Mammalia; Carnivora; Mustelidae
Exons: 2
Source: RefSeq, a predicted model, not a curated record